Molecule: ribosomal RNA, 442 nt
Filed under: uncultured bacterium
Lineage: Bacteria
Description: bacterial SSU rRNA
Rfam family: Bacterial small subunit ribosomal RNA
Source: RNAcentral
AACGCGAAGAACCUUACCUGGGCUCGAAAUGUAGUGGAAUCGGGUGGAAACAUCCGCGUCUCGCAAGAGACUGCUAUAUAGGUGCUGCAUGGCUGUCGUCAGCUCGUGUCGUGAGAUGUUGGGUUAAGUCCCGCAACGAGCGCAACCCUUAUCCCUAGUUGCCAUCGGGUCAAGCCGGGCACUCUAGUGAAACCGCCCGGGAUAACCGGGAGGAAGGUGGGGAUGACGUCAAGUCCUCAUGGCCUUUAUGUCCAGGGCUACACACGUGCUACAAUGGUCGGUACAAACCGUCGCAAACCCGUGAGGGGGAGCUAAUCGGAAAAAGCCGGCCUCAGUUCGGAUUGGAGUCUGCAACCCGACUCCAUGAAGCUGGAAUCGCUAGUAAUCGCGGAUCAGAACGCCGCGGUGAAUACGUUCCCGGGCCUUGUACACACCGGUACUA